RNAcentral lists this small RNA (248 nucleotides) under Pan troglodytes (chimpanzee). Its description in RNAcentral is "processed transcript". Lineage: Eukaryota; Metazoa; Chordata; Mammalia; Primates; Hominidae. The record is from RNAcentral.
CCUGGUCACGGCGCCUGGAAUUCCAGGGAGAGCUGACUGAGUUAGGGUGCCGGAGGGGGGGCAUGCUCUUUGCCUCGCGCCCCCGCUUCACCCCUCUUUGCCUGCUGCUCUUUAGCGACCUGCUGCUCAUCACUCAGCCUAAGAGGCCCAGCAGGUUCCGGAUCCAUCUGGACCCCCUACCUUCCGCCUCUCCCUUCUCAGCAACCACCAGGGCCGCCCCACCCACCGACUACUCCAAGCUUCUUCCC